Molecule: long non-coding RNA, 486 nt
Filed under: Nicotiana benthamiana
Lineage: Eukaryota; Viridiplantae; Streptophyta; Magnoliopsida; Solanales; Solanaceae
Description: long non-coding RNA (NBEN_LNC006014)
Source: RNAcentral
AAAAAGAACAUUAAGAAGAAAAGAGCAUACCAUUGCAAGAACUGAGAUCACCAGGAAUGUUACAUGCUUUAGGAAGUGCAAGUGCUUGAGUAAUAUUAAUACCAAAUGCAGGCAACAACGUAGGAUUCUCGUACAAUUUACAUAGACAAUCAAGUUCAUUAGUUAUGGCUUCUUUCAAUGGAUCACAACAUUCUGCCGGCGGUUUGGUGGAAUUAAGGUAAACUCCACAGGGAACUAAUUUCGAAGCACACGACGGCGUUUGAGCUUCUGUGUGGAAUUAAGGUAAUCUGCACAGGGAACUAAUUUCGAAGCACACGACGGCGUUUGAGCUUCCGCCACCGUCGCCGCCAUUAUCGCCACCGUGACUACCACCAUAAUCAGAGCAGACAUUUUGGAAGAAAACAUCCUUCUAUUUUUUUCUGUUUUGUUUUGGUUUAGUAUUGUUCUAUGUUUUGUCCUCCGGUGCUGGAAAUGUUAAUUGCUAAA